RNAcentral lists this long non-coding RNA (1295 nucleotides) under Homo sapiens (human). Its description in RNAcentral is "non-protein coding lnc-PRDM4-6:1". Lineage: Eukaryota; Metazoa; Chordata; Mammalia; Primates; Hominidae. The record is from RNAcentral.
GCCGGGGCUCCGGCCCCCGGCCUGAGAGCUGUGCGACCGUCGCUCUUCUUCCGGCGGCAGGUGUACGCGUCGCUGCCCGGCCGCGAAGACGCCUUCCACCGCGGCAUCUUCCUCUUCUGCUGCCACGAGCCGCCGUGCUGUGCCGCCCUGCGAGUUUCUAGGAAUCAGCUACCCAGGAAAAAUGAUUUUUACUCAUAUGAGCCACCUUCUGAGAAUCCUUCCCCAGAAACAGGAGAAUCGGUGUAUCUCCAACUUAAGUCUGGUGCUCAUCUCUGCAGUGUUUGUGGCUGUUUAGGCCCCAAAACUUGCUCCAGAUGCCACAAAGCGUAUUACUGCAGCAAGGAGCAUCAGACCCUAGACUGGAGAUUGGGACAUAAGCAGGCUUGUGCACAACCAGAUCAUUUGGACCUUACAACUCCAGACCACAACUUCCUUUUUCCAGAAUUUGAAAUUGUAAUAGAAACAAGAUGAGAUUAUGCCUGAGGUUGCGGAAAAGGAAGAUUAUUCAGAUAUUAUAGGGAGCAUGGUUAAGCAGUUUCAGGACUUCAUUCAUUAAGUGGUUAAACUUAAUGCUUGGAAGAAAGGUCUCAAUGUGUCUAGAAGAGAGGUACUGAGAGGAAGACUCACUUUGGAGGCUGGAGCCUACAAUUUUCAAGGAUUGCCUCAGGUGAAAAUAUACUUCCUGGACUUUGUUUCCUGACAUAUAUCAGGUGUGUUCUGCUCCCUAUAAAGACAAGAGGAGGCGGGUAUCCAGAUGGUCCCACGAGUAGGGCUACACAAGAUGCUGGAGGCUUGGUAAGUUCCUCUGGGUCCCAGAUCUUUUUCUCAGGUCGGGAUAGUGUGAGUGCCUAGCACAGUGUCGGGCAUGCAGAAGGGCCCCUUAAAAGUUUCUCUUUCAUCUGGCCAGUUUUAGAUACACAAUUUUGUCAGUUUAUCUGCAGUGCAUACUCUUGGGUAGUGCCUGUGCUGACCAAGUAUCUUAGAGGCUUAUUUUAUUAUAGUAGCCAACAUUUAUCCAGCACUUAACCUUAUAUAAAGGGCUGUUUUUGCAUGAGCUAAUUAAAAUCCUGAGAGUAGACCAGUAAGUCAGAAACUCUGCCCCGUUUUGAAGGUGAGGAAAUUGAGGUUCUGGGUAUAACUUGCUUUGGUCACAUAAUGUUAAGUUUUACAAUUUGAGCCUUGAGCCAUACACAAAGCCACCAUAAACAUUAGAUUUAUAGACUCAAAAUGAAAACAUCAGCUUACUGGUUUGUAGUUCAUACCAGUCAUACAUUCCAAAACAUGUUUGAGUCUUA